Molecule: long non-coding RNA, 277 nt
Filed under: Lathyrus oleraceus (garden pea)
Lineage: Eukaryota; Viridiplantae; Streptophyta; Magnoliopsida; Fabales; Fabaceae
Description: Pisum sativum (pea) long non-coding RNA (PSAT_LNC000205)
Source: RNAcentral
UAAUCCACCCUUCUUGACUACCACCAAUAUAAUCAAACAUAUCAUCACAAUCAUUCAUAUCACAUCAAAUAAUUUGUCAAUACGGACCCCGUCCAUAUUUGUCAUAUCAUACACUUCUUUCCCACCUGCUGCCAAUCUUUGAUAAAUCAUUUAAAAUAUUUUAUCCCUAAAACAACAUUAUAGCCCUCUAUUUCAGCUACCUAACACUUUAAACCCCGUCCCAAAAUGAUUUAUAAGUUGAAAGUUAUGAUCAAAACCGUGCACGAAGGCAUUAUCA